This 253-nucleotide ribosomal RNA is filed under the name uncultured bacterium. RNAcentral's name for it is "partial 16S ribosomal RNA". It matches the Rfam family "Bacterial small subunit ribosomal RNA", at positions 524 to 776 of the family's 1533-position model. The record is from RNAcentral.
UACGAAGGGGACUAGCGUUGUUCGGAAUUACUGGGCGUAAAGCGCACGUAGGCGGAUUUGUAAGUCAGGGGUGAAAUCCCGGGGCUCAACCUCGGAACUGCCUUUGAUACUGCAAGUCUCGAGUCCGAUAGAGGUGGGUGGAAUUCCUAGUGUAGAGGUGAAAUUCGUAGAUAUUAGGAAGAACACCGGUGGCGAGGGCGGCCCACUGGAUCGGUACUGACGCUGAGGUGCGAAAGCGUGGGGAGCAAACAGG